RNAcentral lists this ribosomal RNA (254 nucleotides) under uncultured bacterium. Its description in RNAcentral is "partial 16S ribosomal RNA". It matches the Rfam family "Bacterial small subunit ribosomal RNA", at positions 524 to 776 of the family's 1533-position model. The record is from RNAcentral.
UACGAAGGGUGCAAGCGUUACUCGGAAUUACUGGGCGUAAAGCGUGCGUAGGUGGUUUGUUAAGUCUGUUGUGAAAGCCCCGGGCUCAACCUGGGAAUGGCAAUGGAUACUGGCAAGCUAGAGUGCGGUAGAGGGUAGUGGAAUUCCCGGUGUAGCGGUGAAAUGCGUAGGAGAUCGGGAGGAACACCAGUGGCGAAGGCGGCUACCUGGACCAGCACUGACACUGAGGCACGAAAGCGUGGGGAGCAAACAGG